Molecule: ribosomal RNA, 2256 nt
Filed under: Candidatus Aenigmatarchaeota archaeon
Lineage: Archaea; Nanobdellati; Candidatus Aenigmatarchaeota
Description: 16S ribosomal RNA
Rfam family: Archaeal small subunit ribosomal RNA
Source: RNAcentral
AUUCCGGUUGAUCCUGCCGGAGGUCAUUGCUAUCCGAAUCCGACUAAGCCAUGCAAGUCUUGGUAUUCUUCGAAUGCUAGGGCAGAAAGCUCAGUAACACGUAGUUAACAUGCCCUUAAGUCCGGGAUAAUUUCGGGAAACUGAAGCUAAUACCGGAUAGGUAAGAGGUACUGGAAUGUCCUCUUAUCCAAAGCUUCGGCGCUUAAGGAUUGGACUGCGCCGGAUUAGGUUGUUGAUAGGGUAACGUCCUGUCAAGCCGAUAAUCCGUAUAGGCCUUGAGAGAGGAAGCCUAGAGAUGGAUUCUGAGACAAGAAUCCAGGCCCUACGGGGCGCAGCAGGCGCGAAAAUUUCCCAAUGCACGCAAGUGUGAGGAAGGGAUUCGGAGUGCUUUUCCUUAUAUAGGGGAAGCUUUUGUAGAGUGUAAAAAGCUUUACGAAUAAGUGGUGGGUAAGAGUUUGAAUGUCAAAACAGUGAAAAGAAUACUUAGAUAAUAAGUAAUCUAUUUGCUGUUUAGCAAUCAGACUACCAAACGGGUGCCAGCCGCCGCGGUAAUACCCGCGCCACGAGUGAUGACCACGUUUAUUGGGCUUAAAGCGUUCGUAGCCGGUCCAGUAAGUCUUUAGUGAAAUCCCGUAGCCAACUAUGGGGCUUGCUAGUGAAACUGCUGGGCUAGGGACCGGGAGAGGUCUGGGGUAUUCCAGGGGUAGGGGUAAAACCCUUUUGCGCAUGAGACAAGCAAAAGCGUUUACGGAAAACCAAUGCGCAUUUGGUUAUAGUCCUGUAAUCCUUGGGAGACCACCCGUGGCGAAGGCGCCAGACCAGAACGGAUCCGACGGUGAGGGACGAAAGCCAGGGGAGCAAAGGGGAUUAGAUACCCCCGUAGUCCUGGCUGUAAACGAUGCCCACUAGACAUUGGCAGUCUCAAGGGGGCUGUCAGUGCCGUAGCGAAAGCGUUAAGUGGGCCGCCUGGGGAGUACGGUCGCAAGGCUGAAACUUAAGGGAAUUGGCGGGGGAGCACACAAGGGGUGGAGGCUGCGGUUUAAUUGGAUUCAACGCCGGGAACCUUACCAGAGGCGACAGCAGAGUGAAGGUCCGCUUGAAGAGCGUACCAGACGCGCUGAGAAGUGGUGCAUGGCCGUCGUCAGUUCGUGUCGUGUGAGCUUCUGGAAAAGUCCAAUUCUACCAGUAGCUCCGGCAAAGAUGUCCUGUUAAGUCAGGUAAAUCGAUAUGACCGUUAGCUUUUAAGUCCUCAAUCCAAAACUUCCGUAUGAAAUACCAGGUAAACUUCGAGACCUCGUGGUUGUCAGGAAUUUGGUGUGCGGACAGAGGCAGUACAGCUAAAGGUGUAGUUGCUAUAAACAAUAAGCACCUUGAUAUCCGAAAAGCUUUUGUUGCACUUUCACUAAAGAAUUUCGACAUAGAUGAAAAAAAGAUAAGAGAAAGAAAGAUAACCGGUUACGGGGUAACACAUGAAGUUUACUUUACGAGGCUGCCUGCAAGGAGAUUCAUAGAAAAUAUCUCUAGAAAAAGAAGCAAGCUUUCGAGGAAAAAUAAGCUUGCAUUCUUGGCAGGUAGACUUGAUGGUGAUGGAACUGUGGAUUUCAAAAGGAGUCUGCUUUGUAUAUAUUACGGUGUUUCUGAAAGGGAGGAAAUGGAUAUCGACCGAGAUAUGAUAGAGUCUCUCGGCUUCAAAACAUCUUGUGGAACGUGUGGUAGCAAAGCCCUAAGACUUAGGGUAUUAAAACCACGUUUUUUCGCAAAUGAGUUAAUGUUUUUCGUAAAACAUACGGAAAAGGAAAGGGGACUGAAAAAGCUUAUUAAAAAACGGGCAUAUCGAGCCUAACGAACAAGACCCGCGCUUCAUGUUGCUAUCGUAUAUUUAGGUAUGCGAGCACUCAUGAGGGACCGCUGGCGAUAAGCCAGAGGAAGGUGCGGUCGACGGCAGGUCUGUAUGCUCUGAAUCCUCUGGGUUACACGCGGCCUACAAUGACCGGGACAAUGGGAUGCAACACCGAAAGGUGAAGCUAAUCCCGAAACCCGGCCUCAGUUCAGAUCGAGGGCUGCAACUCGCCCUCGUGAAGCCGAAAUCCCUAGUAGUCGCUAGNNNNNNNNNNNNNNNNNNNNNNNNNNNNNNNNNNNNNNNNNNNNNNNNNNNNNNNNNNNNNNNNNNNNNNNNNNNNNNNNNNNNNNNNNNNNNNNNNNNNAGGCCUAUCACCGCGUUUACACCAAGACCAAUCUUGCGAGUGUCCACCUCUA